GUUUUUGUAGUUGAAUAACAACGGUGGUUUUUCGGGCCACAGGUUUUGGUUAAAAUAGUCCAAAUGAGAAUC
This 72-nucleotide transfer RNA is filed under the name Hemidactylus frenatus (common house gecko). RNAcentral's name for it is "tRNA-Glu". Lineage: Eukaryota; Metazoa; Chordata; Lepidosauria; Squamata; Gekkonidae. The record is from RNAcentral.